Molecule: ribosomal RNA, 483 nt
Filed under: Veillonella parvula
Lineage: Bacteria; Bacillati; Bacillota; Negativicutes; Veillonellales; Veillonellaceae
Description: bacterial SSU rRNA
Rfam family: Bacterial small subunit ribosomal RNA
Source: RNAcentral
GACGACCGCGGGGGCGUGCUUAACCAUGCAAGUCGAACGAAGAGCGAUGAAGCUUGCUUCUAUCAAUUUAAGUGGCGAACGGGUGAGUAACGCGUAAUCAACCUGCCCUUCAGAGGGGGACAACAGUUGGAAACGACUGCUAAUACCGCAUACGAUCUAACCUCGGCAUCGAGGAAAGAUGAAAGGUGGCCUCUAUUUAUAAGCUAUCACUGAAGGAGGGGAUUGCGUCUGAUUAGCUAGUUGGAGGGGUAACGGCCCACCAAGGCGAUGAUCAGUAGCCGGUCUGAGAGGAUGAACGGCCACAUUGGGACUGAGACACGGCCCAGACUCCUACGGGAGGCAGCAGUGGGGAAUCUUCCGCAAUGGACGAAAGUCUGACGGAGCAACGCCGCGUGAGUGAUGACGGCCUUCGGGUUGUAAAGCUCUGUUAAUCGGGACGAAAGGCCUUCUUGCGAACAGUUAGAAGGAUUGACGGACCGAAUA